This 277-nucleotide long non-coding RNA is filed under the name Vigna radiata. Its description in RNAcentral is "long non-coding RNA (VRAD_LNC007164)". Lineage: Eukaryota; Viridiplantae; Streptophyta; Magnoliopsida; Fabales; Fabaceae. The record is from RNAcentral.
GGGCGCAGGAGAAAUCAAACCAGGUUGGUUAGCUCGCAGGAGAAGAACGGCGCAGCGGAGAAGCAAAGGUGAGGCGGAGAAGCAAAGGUGCGGCAGAGAAGCAGGGGCGGUGGAGAAGAAUGGCGGUCGGAGGAAUGCUGGCGUCAAUGACGGAAGAAAGGUCGCAGCUCGCGGCGGAGACGGAGACGAAAGUUGUUCAGGUUUUCUGAUAAUUGAUCGCGUGAAGAAGAAAACUGUACAAAGUUUUUUUUUAACCUAUUUAAACCAUACUAUCGCG